RNAcentral lists this transfer-messenger RNA (350 nucleotides) under Monoglobaceae. RNAcentral describes it as "UMGS1820 sp900555375 Standard tmRNA". It matches the Rfam family "transfer-messenger RNA". Rfam says of the family: Bacterial tmRNA, also known as 10Sa RNA or SsrA, is named for its dual tRNA and mRNA-like properties. Its role is to liberate the mRNA from a stalled ribosome. The record is from RNAcentral. RNAcentral also lists the same sequence under 1 other name. Lineage: Bacteria; Bacillati; Bacillota; Clostridia; Monoglobales.
GGGGAUGUAAAGGCUUCGACGGGGUCGCGGAGACUCAGGGAGCGAGCCGCAGCGGGUACUGCGAUAGAAACCCAACUUUUUAAAAUUAAACGCUAACAAUAAUUUAGCUUACGCUGCCUAAUUAACGCAGCUGCCUUCCCGCAAUUACCGCGGUUGCGGAUUAAGGUAUCAUCAAAGCGGUGAACGCGAGUGAAGAAAGCUUUGACUUCACCGGGAAUCAAUGAAGCUACCGGCGUUUUUGGCUUGCCUGUGAGCCAAAAACAGUCGGGAAUAUAAAUCACAGGCUACGCUCGUAGCGCCCUGUGGGGACGCUUCUUCGGACAGGGGUUCAAUUCCCCUCAUCUCCACCA